GUGCUUGCUUUGGCAGCACAUAUACUAAAAAUUGGAAUGAUACAGAGAAGAUUAGCAUGGCCCCUGCACAAGGAUGACACGCAAAUUCAUGAAAUGGUCCAAAUUUUU
RNAcentral lists this small nuclear RNA (108 nucleotides) under Mustela putorius furo (domestic ferret). Lineage: Eukaryota; Metazoa; Chordata; Mammalia; Carnivora; Mustelidae. The record is from RNAcentral.